Molecule: ribosomal RNA, 454 nt
Filed under: uncultured bacterium
Lineage: Bacteria
Description: bacterial SSU rRNA
Rfam family: Bacterial small subunit ribosomal RNA
Source: RNAcentral
UACGGAAGGCAGCAGUGGGGAAUAUUGCACAAUGGGCGAAAGCCUGAUGCAGCUAUGCCGCGUGUAUGAAGAAGGCCUUAGGGUUGUAAAGUACUUUCAUCGGGGAGGAAAAACAAAACUAAUAAUUUUAUUUCUUGACGUUACCCGAAAAAGAAGCACCGACUAACUCCGUGCCAGCAGCCGCGGUAAUACGGAGGGUGCUAGCGUUAAUCAGAAUUACUGGGCGUAAAGAGCACGUAGGUGGUUUUUUUAAGUCAGAUGUGAAAUCCCUGGGCUUAACCUGGAACUGCAUUUUGAAACUGAAAUACUAGAGUAUCGUAGAGGGAGGUAGAAUUCUAGGUGUAGCGGUGAAAUGCGUAGAUAUCUGGAGGAAUACCUGUGGCGAAAGCGGCCUCCUAAACGAAUACUGACACUGAGGUGCGAAAGCGUGGGGAGCAAACAGGGAUUAGAUACC